UACGAAGGGGGCUAGCGUUGCUCGGAAUCACUGGGCGUAAAGCGCACGUAGGCGGAUUGUUAAGUCAGGGGUGAAAUCCUGGAGCUCAACUCCAGGACUGCCUUUGAUACUGGCGAUCUCGAGUCCGGGAGAGGUGAGUGGAACUGCGAGUGUAGAGGUGAAAUUCGCAGAUAUUCGCAAGAACACCAGUGGCGAAGGCGGCUCACUGGCCCGGUACUGACGCUGAGGUGCGAAAGCGUGGGGAGCAAACAGG
This 253-nucleotide ribosomal RNA is filed under the name uncultured bacterium. RNAcentral's name for it is "partial 16S ribosomal RNA". It matches the Rfam family "Bacterial small subunit ribosomal RNA", at positions 524 to 776 of the family's 1533-position model. The record is from RNAcentral.